Molecule: small RNA, 567 nt
Filed under: Pongo abelii (Sumatran orangutan)
Lineage: Eukaryota; Metazoa; Chordata; Mammalia; Primates; Hominidae
Description: processed transcript
Source: RNAcentral
AUAUGCAUUUGGCAAGUGCUUUUGCUGGCAUCGGCUUUGGAAAUGCUGGUGUUCAUCUGUGCCAUGGAAUGUCUUACCCAAUUUCAGGUUUAGUGAAGACAUAUAAAGCAAAGGAUUACAAUGUGGAUCACCCACUGGUGCCCCAUGGCCUUUCUGUGGUGCUCACGUCCCCAGCAGUGUUCACUUUCACGGCCCAGAUGUUUCCAGAGCGACACCUGGAGACGGCAGAAAUACUGGGAGCUGACACCCGCACUGCCAGGAUCCAAGAUGCAGGGCUGGUGUUGGCAGACACGCUCCGGAAAUUCUUAUUCGAUCUGGAUGUUGAUGAUGGCCUAGCAGCCGUUGGUUACUCCAAAGCUGAUAUCCCCGCACUAGUGAAAGGAACGCUGCCCCAGUGCCUUUGCUAACAGUAGCCAGACGUCUGAAUGUGACUCACCAAGAGGAGUGUUUGGUAUUCAUAUUGAUGAUGACUCUGUAGAGGAAGAAUUUAAAGGUCAAGCAUGAAGAAACAGAUUUAGGAAGCCUUGGUGUUUUUAUCUGGAUACCCAUCAUUCUGACCAUUACAAU